This is a non-coding RNA of Microcebus murinus (gray mouse lemur), 1280 nucleotides long. The record is from RefSeq and is a predicted model, not a curated record. NCBI's taxonomy places the organism in Eukaryota, Metazoa, Chordata, Mammalia, Primates, Cheirogaleidae.
CUUUGCCAUUGUGAAUUGCGCUGUGAUAAAUAUUCGAGUGCGGGUGUCUUUUUGAUAAAAUGACUUAUUUUGCUUUCGAUUGACUCCCAGCAGUGGGAUGGCUGGAUUGAAUGGUGGGUCUCCUUUUAGUUCUUUGAGGAAUUUCCCUACUGCUCUCCGUGCUAAAUUAGUAUGUACAUUCCCACCAACUGUGUGUAAAUGUUCCCUUUUCUCUGCAUCCACAUCAACAUCUGUUGUUUUCUGGCAGAUUAACAAUGGCCACGCUGAAAGGGGUGAGGUGGUAUCUCGCUGGGGUUUUAGUUUGCAUUUCCCCGUGAUUGGUGAUGUUGAGCAUCGAGUCACACACGUGUGUUGGCCACUUGAAACACGGCUGUUCUUAAUUAAGGUACAGCCACAGCAGCAGAAUGUUCAUUUUGCUCUUCCUCCACCGUGGGCCGCUCGUGACCUCAAAGGGUUUUUACGGUGUCGGCGAUUGUUCCUGGCGGAUGAAUAGGCGACUCGUGAUCAGAAGAUGGGUCUGCAGUCUGUGUUGCAAUGGAACAUACCGUCUGUGUUGCAAGGGUCAGGAAAUUACAGAACCAGAGCCAGACCUGGCCUGUGGCCCGCUUUUGUAAAUAAAGUUUUAUCGGGACACUGCCGCGCUCAUUUCACGUCUGUGGUGGCUGUCGCACUGAGAGAGCAGAGUGGGGUAGCCGGGACCCUUCACAGAAAAUGCUUGCUGAGAUCUGGCGGAUGCUGUCAAAAUUAUGAACGGUCCAGGUGGAGCCCGGGUGGGCUGUGGGACGGCCUGGCGUCAGGUCUCAAGUUGGGUGCAGAGUGAAGGAAACUUACCUGUGUGUCCCAGGAAAGACAGCUUUUCUUCUCUUCUUUGGGGCUUUCUAGCUGUUCUCCUGCCUCCGGAACUGCCAGUCUCCAGGACCUUGCGUGGAAUGGGCCUUUGAUGUGAUAACGUGGAAUUCUCUUAGAAUUCAGCUGGGCCGUGUGGAUUGACACAGCGGAAGAAGGACAAGGUUAGCAAAUAACUCAAAGUUAUGGGAGAUCAAAGAACAACUCUAUUUUUUUUUUUGGUUAAUUAAUGAUGAGAAAUUGAAUAUUUCUCCAAGUGGGAUAUAACAAUGCUUACAUUUAUUUUCUGCAUUUGCCAUUUCAACCUCAGAACCCUCCAUGCCAUCUUCAAUUUUCAUCUAUGCCUUUAUGUCUUGUGCAACUACCGUGUUUCCCUGAAAAUAAGACCUACCCAUAAAAUAAGCCCUAGCAGGAUUUCUAAGCAUGUGCGCAAU